UACGAAGGGGGCUAGCGUUGCUCGGAAUCACUGGGCGUAAAGCGCACGUAGGCGGACUCUUAAGUCGGUGGUGAAAUCCUGGAGCUCAACUCCAGAACUGCCUUCGAUACUGGGAGUCUUGAGUCCGGGAGAGGUGAGUGGAACUGCGAGUGUAGAGGUGAAAUUCGUAGAUAUUCGCAAGAACACCAAUGGCGAAGGCAGCUCGCUGGGACGGUACUGACGCUGAGACGCGAAAGCGUGGGGAGCGAACAGG
Molecule: ribosomal RNA, 253 nt
Filed under: uncultured bacterium
Lineage: Bacteria
Description: partial 16S ribosomal RNA
Rfam family: Bacterial small subunit ribosomal RNA
Source: RNAcentral